CCAUCUUGGACUCGGCUCGACCCAGUCUGGUGACCGGCGACGCUGGGCCGGGCUCGGCGCAGGGGGUCGGGAAGCGCAAAGAAGUUAAAUACUUGACCAAGUUCACACCAAGAUCUGAACCCAGGUAGUCUUACUUCAGAGCCUACGUUCUUAUCCGUGCCCAUUGCCAGCCUCGUGCUCAUUCAUUUUUUAAAAAGAUGGCAGAGAGAAGAGUUCCUGAGAAGACCAGAUAGGACAUUUGCAUCUCAAAGAUGGGGAAACAAGUUUGAAGCAGGGUGUCCUGACUACAAAUGCAGUGUUGUUUCCAAGAUGCCGCAAUGGUGGCUGCCUCUUGGCUCAGCGCCAGCUCACUCCGGGAGUGAAGAUGAGUUCCUGGGCUCCACGUCACCCAACACGAUGCCACACAUCAUGCAUGCUCUGUGAAUAGCUCUUGGUGAAAAUGGAAAUUAAACCAGAAUGUGAACAUGCUGAAUGAAUCGGACUCCCCAGAGAUUUGGAGGAGAAGAAAACCUCCCACUCGCCUUUGACUUUUGGAUUUCUUGUUUCCCUCAUGUUUGGAUUGCACUUUAAGAAGUCCAUCUGGAAGUUCACUUUUUAUAUUUUGCAAAUGCAAGUAGAGCUUAUUAUCAAAAGACAAACCCCUAAAGGAAGAAAAACAGUGGGCAGGGAUUGGGGGGGCCAGAGAAUCACCUAAAAAAUCCAGUGACGGUAUUUCAAGUUAAAUU
Long non-coding RNA from Lagenorhynchus albirostris (white-beaked dolphin), 725 nucleotides. RefSeq lists it as uncharacterized. The transcript has 5 exons. Lineage: Eukaryota; Metazoa; Chordata; Mammalia; Artiodactyla; Delphinidae. The record is from RefSeq and is a predicted model, not a curated record.